This 563-nucleotide ribosomal RNA is filed under the name uncultured bacterium. Its description in RNAcentral is "bacterial SSU rRNA". It matches the Rfam family "Bacterial small subunit ribosomal RNA", at positions 439 to 1016 of the family's 1533-position model. The record is from RNAcentral.
UUAAGGACGAAGAAAGUGACGGUACUUAAUGAAUAAGCUCCGGCUAACUACGUGCCAGCAGCCGCGGUAAUACGUAGGGAGCAAGCGUUGUCCGGAUUUACUGGGUGUAAAGGGUGCGUAGGCGGCUUUGCAAGUCAGAUGUGAAAUCUAUGGGCUCAACCCAUAGCCUGCAUUUGAAACUGCAGAGCUUGAGUGAAGUAGAGGCAGGCGGAAUUCCCCGUGUAGCGGUGAAAUGCGUAGAGAUGGGGAGGAACACCAGUGGCGAAGGCGGCCUGCUGGGCUUUAACUGACGCUGAGGCACGAAAGCGUGGGUAGCAAACAGGAUUAGAUACCCUGGUAGUCCACGCUGUAAACGAUGAUUACUAGGUGUGGGGGGUCUGACCCCUUCCGUGCCGGAGUUAACACAAUAAGUAAUCCACCUGGGGAGUACGGCCGCAAGGUUGAAACUCAAAGGAAUUGACGGGGGCCCGCACAAGCAGUGGAGUAUGUGGUUUAAUUCGAAGCAACGCGAAGAACCUUACCAGGUCUUGACAUCCUACUAACGAGAUAGAGAUAUGUUAGGU